AUUGAACGCUGGCGGCAUGCCUUACACAUGCAAGUCGAACGGUAACACGGGGCAACCUGGCGACGAGUGGCGAACGGGUGAGUAAUGCAUCGGAACGUGCCCAGUAGUGGGGGAUAGCCCGGCGAAAGCCGGAUUAAUACCGCAUACGACCUAUGGGUGAAAGCGGGGGAUCGCAAGACCUCGCGCUAUUAGAGCGGCCGAUGUCAGAUUAGGUAGUUGGUGGGGUAAAGGCUCACCAAGCCGACGAUCUGUAGCUGGUCUGAGACGGACGACCAGCCACACUGGGACUGAGACACGGCCCAGACUCCUACGGGAGGCAGCAGUGGGGAAUUUUGGACAAUGGGCGCAAGCCUGAUCCAGCCAUUCCGCGUGCAGGAUGAAGGCCU
Molecule: ribosomal RNA, 386 nt
Filed under: uncultured bacterium
Lineage: Bacteria
Description: bacterial SSU rRNA
Rfam family: Bacterial small subunit ribosomal RNA
Source: RNAcentral